RNAcentral lists this ribosomal RNA (468 nucleotides) under uncultured bacterium. RNAcentral describes it as "partial 16S ribosomal RNA". It matches the Rfam family "Bacterial small subunit ribosomal RNA", at positions 28 to 507 of the family's 1533-position model. The record is from RNAcentral.
GACGAACGCUGGCGGCGUGCUUAACACAUGCAAGUCGAACGGAAGGGCCCUGCUCUUGUGUGGUUCUCGUGUGGCGAACGGGGGAGUAACACGUGAGUAACCUGCCCUUGUCUUUGGGAUAACUUCAGGAAACUGGGGCUAAUACAGGAUAGGAGCUCCUGAUGCAUGGGGGGGGAUGGAAAGAGUCGGCGGUUGGGGAUAGUCUCGCGGCUUAUCAGCUUGUUUGUGGGGUAGUGGCGUACCAAGGCUUCGACGGGUAGCCGGCCUGGGAGGGUGACCGGCCACAUUGGGACUGAGAUACGGACCAGACUCCUACGGGAGGCAGCAGUGGGGAAUAUUGCACAAUGGGCGGGAGCCUGAUGCAGCAACGCCGCGUGCGGGAUGACGGCCUUCGGGUUGUAAACCGCUUUCGCCUGUGACGAAGCGUGAGUGACGGUAAUGGGUAAAGAAGCACCGGCUAACUACGUG